GGGGGUGCUUGCACCCCGCUGACGAGCGGCGGACGGGUGAGUAAUGCAUAGGAAAUUGCCCAGUAGUGGGGGAUAGCCCGGGGAAACCCGGAUUAAUACCGCAUACGUCCUUCGGGAGAAAGCAGGGGAUCUUCGGACCUUGCGCUAUUGGAUGUGCCUAUGUCGGAUUAGCUAGUUGGUGGGGUAAAGGCCUACCAAGGCGACGAUCCGUAGCUGGUCUGAGAGGAUGAUCAGCCACAUCGGGACUGAGACACGGCCCGAACUCCUACGGGAGGCAGCAGUGGGGAAUAUUGGACAAUGGGGGCAACCCUGAUCCAGCCAUGCCGCGUGUGUGAAGAAGGCUUUCGGGUUGUAAAGCACUUUCAGUGAGGAGGAAAACCUUAUGGUUAAUACCCAUGAGGCUUGACGUUACUCACAGAAGAAGCACCGGCUAACUCCGUGCCAGCAGCCGCGGUAAUACGGAGGGUGCAAGCGUUAAUCGGAAUUACUGGGCGUAAAGCGCGCGUAGGUGGUUUGAUAAGCGAGAUGUGAAAGCCCCGGGCUUAACCUGGGAACGGCAUUUCGAACUGUCAGGCUAGAGUAUGGUAGAGGGUAGUGGAAUUUCCUGUGUAGCGGUGAAAUGCGUAGAUAUAGGAAGGAACACCAGUGGCGAAGGCGGCUACCUGGACCAAUACUGACACUGAGGUGCGAAAGCGUGGGGAGCAAACAGGGAUUAGAUACCCUGGUAGUCCACGCCGUAAACGAUGUCAACUA
This 753-nucleotide ribosomal RNA is filed under the name Marinobacter sp. HOT4E8. RNAcentral describes it as "bacterial SSU rRNA". It matches the Rfam family "Bacterial small subunit ribosomal RNA", at positions 72 to 818 of the family's 1533-position model. Lineage: Bacteria; Pseudomonadati; Pseudomonadota; Gammaproteobacteria; Pseudomonadales; Marinobacteraceae. The record is from RNAcentral.